RNAcentral lists this ribosomal RNA (254 nucleotides) under uncultured bacterium. RNAcentral's name for it is "partial 16S ribosomal RNA". It matches the Rfam family "Bacterial small subunit ribosomal RNA", at positions 524 to 776 of the family's 1533-position model. The record is from RNAcentral.
UACGUAGGGUGCAAGCGUUGUCCGGAAUUAUUGGGCGUAAAGAGCUCGUAGGCGGUCUGUCACGUCGGCUGUGAAAACCUGGGGCUCAACCCCGGGCCUGCAGCCGAUACGGGCAGACUAGAAUUCGGUAGGGGAGACUGGAAUUCCUGGUGUAGCGGUGAAAUGCGCAGAUAUCAGGAGGAACACCGGUGGCGAAGGCGGGUCUCUGGGCCGAUAUUGACGCUGAGGAGCGAAAGCGUGGGGGAGCGAACAGG